GCGCCCGUAGCUCAGCUGGUUAGAGCAUCACACUUAUAAUGUGGGGGUCGAUGGUUCGAGUCCAUCCGGGCGCACCA
RNAcentral lists this transfer RNA (77 nucleotides) under Candidatus Nealsonbacteria bacterium RIFCSPHIGHO2_02_FULL_38_75. RNAcentral describes it as "tRNA-Ile". It matches the Rfam family "tRNA". Rfam says of the family: Transfer RNA (tRNA) molecules are approximately 80 nucleotides in length. Their secondary structure includes four short double-helical elements and three loops (D, anti-codon, and T loops). Further hydrogen bonds mediate the characteristic L-shaped molecular structure. tRNAs have two regions of fundamental functional importance: the anti-codon, which is responsible for specific mRNA codon recognition, and the 3' end, to which the tRNAs corresponding amino acid is attached (by aminoacyl-tRNA synthetases). tRNAs cope with the degeneracy of the genetic code in two manners: having more than one tRNA (with a specific anti-codon) for a particular amino acid; and 'wobble' base-pairing, i.e. permitting non-standard base-pairing at the 3rd anti-codon position. Lineage: Bacteria; Candidatus Nealsoniibacteriota. RNAcentral also lists the same sequence under 2 other names. The record is from RNAcentral.